Molecule: long non-coding RNA, 1485 nt
Organism: Ceratina calcarata
Lineage: Eukaryota; Metazoa; Arthropoda; Insecta; Hymenoptera; Apidae
Exons: 3
Source: RefSeq, a predicted model, not a curated record
CAUCAAACCAACAACACCGUCCUGACACAAAACGGCGCAUCCUGCUGCGCCCCCUUCUUCUUCUUCGUCUUUCUCGUCAUCCUCCUCCUCUUCUUCUUCUCCUUCCUCUUCUAAUUCUUUCGCCGCCGAUUCCUUUCUUAUACACCUGAGUCCGCCUCGGCCGUUGCCUCUGCUUUUUUGUACCCUUCAUCUCCUUCUCUCCUUCUUCUUCGUCCUCGCCGCAUCCUGAUAAAGUAAUCACCGGUGUUCUCGAGUUCGGACAGCUUCUCUUUACGCUUUCAUCCAUACUGUAGGAGGUAUUGAAUCCAACGGGGAUUCCGCGGAGAUUUCGAACAUCCGGAAUUUGUCCACUGGACCCGAAGAGGAUGACAAGUACGGUUUCUUCGAAGAGGAUGGACCAAGGGAAUACGACUCAUCCGGUACGGUGACCUGUAUUUGUCGAGGAGGAUGGAAGAGGAUCUAGAGAAUGUUUGGAUGAAGAUCUGACGGAUUCGAGGUGAAUCAAGUUCGUUCACAGAUACCAGGUAGAACCAUGGCAUGGUUCGUCGGCCCGGUACCAAGGUUUCUCAUGAAUGGAGGAGGGUUCAGCAGGAUCGAUGAAGAGGGCGUGUCUUCAGGGGAGGAUUGGUAUCCGUGACGUUUUCAACCCCACCUGAGAAGGUCGCAAACAGAGCGCACGUGCUCGAUUACGUCACAAGGAUAGCCGGGCUGAAGCACGAGAGCAAACCCAUUCAGUGAUCCUGUUUCUCGCCAAUGCUAUUCCGAUUCGACGUUCCUAUCUCUCCACUCUUUGCUUCUCGACUCUCGGCUAACGCAGAUCCAUCUCAUACAUUAUGUGCAUCAGUACGGGAGUAGCAGAAAUUGAGAACAGUGAACGCUUAGAGACUCGGUGAUGGAUUACGUGAAGAGGAAUAAGGGACGAACAAGUGAGACGACGUCGGGAAGCUGGUACGAGGAAGAUGCGUGAGUCUGUGCUCCUCGUGUUCACUGCGGGCCUCCAUGUGCCAACUUAUCAAAAUUCAUAAGGCACGCGGUGAAUGCCAAGAGCGGGCCAAAUACAACGUUCGCCCAACCGUAUUCGCGGCAUCCGAUCUUGGACCGGGAACGGACUUCGGCGUUUUUACUAUUCGCGCUCGUUCACUGUUUCAACGACAGGUCAGUAGUUAGUUGAAACUUCCACGCAUCCACGAUUUUGAUUCACGUAGACCGACGAUAUCUGUCUUGUAAAUUAGAUUGUUGUCUACUGUAAUUAAACUUACAAGCUAGACAAGAGUUUGGUAGUGUGAGUAGAUACUCCAGUGAUACAUUAUUAUAGAAUGUUAUUUUGUAGAUGAUUAAAAUUUGUUUUGUUUAAGCCAAGUUUUGAGUUGCUGUAAAACGUCAUGUACGACGUUAUGUAUAGUAAUAGAAAUGGCUCCUUUUCUACUGUGUACAUAUUUACUAUGCGUCCUUUUUAAUAUGUAAUAAAAAAUCACAUCGUGUUAA